AAUCAACGCUGGCGGCGUGCCUCAGACAUGCAAGUCGAAUGCGAAAGUUUCCUUCGGGAAGCGAGUAGAGUGGCGUCCGGGUGAGUAACACGUAGGUAAUCUACCUUUGGGUGGGGAAUAACAACCGGAAACGGUUGCUAAUACCGCAUAAUGCAGCGGCACCACAUGGUGACAGUUGUUAAAGCGGGGGAGUCGCAAGACCUCGCGCCU
This 210-nucleotide ribosomal RNA is filed under the name uncultured bacterium. Its description in RNAcentral is "partial 16S ribosomal RNA". It matches the Rfam family "Bacterial small subunit ribosomal RNA", at positions 32 to 220 of the family's 1533-position model. The record is from RNAcentral.